AAGUAGAAGAUAUGGAUUCUGAUGUAGAUGUUGCGGAAUUAGAGUUUGAAAGGCAGGUGGGUUCAUGUGUUGGAGUACAAGGGAAAAAUGAGUUGGCCAAGUAUUUAGAAGAUGAUAGAGAAGUUAAUCCCGCCGGAAAAAGCUUUGAUUGUUUGGGGUGGUGGAAAAAAUAUGGUGAAAGGUAUCCAACAAUAGCUCUCAUGGCUAGAGAUGUACUCUCCAUUCCCGUAUCAACAGUCGCUUCCGAAUCAGCUUUUAGCACCGGUGGUCGAGUGCUUGAUUCAUUUCGCAGCUCACUCUCAACUAAGAUGGUUGAAGCCUUGAUUUGAGCACAAGAUUGGUUACGUACAUCUCAAGGUCCUCUUAUACUUGAGGAGAGACUUGAAGAUAUGGAAAAAAUUGAAUCAGAAAUGUUACCUCUUGGUGAGGAACACUCUCUCUUUGUUGAUGAUGAUUAAUUGAUUAGAGGCAACAACUUAUAAUCAUGAAGGUUGGUGGUGAUUGUAUUGAAGGCCGGAAGUCAUUGAAGGCUUGGAGUAUUUUAUGAAAUAUGAUUACUAUGGACUGUUUUUGUUUUAAAACUAUAAACUAUGGACUUUUUUUUUUGUUAUGUAUUGGUUUAUUAUUGUUAACUAUGGACUUUUUUUUUUAAAGAAACAGUAUGUUUGUAUCAAGUA
Chenopodium quinoa (quinoa) is the source of this 677-nucleotide long non-coding RNA. RefSeq lists it as uncharacterized. The transcript has 2 exons. Lineage: Eukaryota; Viridiplantae; Streptophyta; Magnoliopsida; Caryophyllales; Amaranthaceae. The record is from RefSeq and is a predicted model, not a curated record.